Molecule: ribosomal RNA, 588 nt
Filed under: uncultured Alphaproteobacteria bacterium
Lineage: Bacteria; Pseudomonadati; Pseudomonadota; Alphaproteobacteria
Description: bacterial SSU rRNA
Rfam family: Bacterial small subunit ribosomal RNA
Source: RNAcentral
CGCUGGCGGCAGGCUUAACACAUGCAAGUCGAGCGCCGUAGCAAUACGGAGCGGCAGACGGGUGAGUAACACGUGGGAACGUACCUUUUGGUUCGGAACAACACAGGGAAACUUGUGCUAAUACCGGAUAAGCCCUUACGGGGAAAGAUUUAUCGCCGAAAGAUCGGCCUGCGUCUGAUUAGCUAGUUGGUGAGGUAACGGCUCACCAAGGCGACGAUCAGUAGCUGGUCUGAGAGGAUGAUCAGCCACACUGGGACUGAGACACGGCCCAGACUCCUACGGGAGGCAGCAGUGGGGAAUAUUGGACAAUGGGCGCAAGCCUGAUCCAGCCAUGCCGCGUGAGUAAUGAAGGCCCUAGGGUUGUAAAGCUCUUUUGUGCGGGAAGAUAAUGACUGUACCGCAAGAAUAAGCCCCGGCUAACUUCGUGCCAGCAGCCGCGGUAAUACGAAGGGGGCUAGCGUUGCUCGGAAUCACUGGGCGUAAAGCGCACGUAGGCGGACUCUUAAGUCGGUGGUGAAAUCCUGGAGCUCAACUCCAGAACUGCCUUCGAUACUGGGAGUCUCGAGUUCGGGAGAGGUGAGUGGAACU